ACUCCUGCGGGAGGCAGCAGUGGGGAAUUUUGGACAAUGGGCGAAAGCCUGAUCCAGCCAUGCCGCGUGCAGGAUGAAGGCCUUCGGGUUGUAAACUGCUUUUGUACGGAACGAAACGGCCUUUUCUAAUAAAGAGGGCUAAUGACGGUACCGUAAGAAUAAGCACCGGCUAACUACGUGCCAGCAGCCGCGGUAAUACGUAGGGUGCAAGCGUUAAUCGGAAUUACUGGGCGUAAAGCGUGCGCAGGCGGUUAUGUAAGACAGUUGUGAAAUCCCCGGGCUCAACCUGGGAACUGCAUCUGUGACUGCAUAGCUAGAGUACGGUAGAGGGUGAUGGAAUUCCGCGUGUAGCAGUGAAAUGCGUAGAUAUGCGGAGGAACACCGAUGGCGAAGGCAAUCCCCUGGACCUGUACUGACGCUCAUGCACGAAAGCGUGGGGAGCAAACAGGAUUAGAUACCCCAGUAGUCCCAUGAU
This 475-nucleotide ribosomal RNA is filed under the name uncultured organism. RNAcentral's name for it is "partial 16S ribosomal RNA". It matches the Rfam family "Bacterial small subunit ribosomal RNA", at positions 335 to 801 of the family's 1533-position model. The record is from RNAcentral.